Molecule: ribosomal RNA, 916 nt
Filed under: uncultured bacterium
Lineage: Bacteria
Description: bacterial SSU rRNA
Rfam family: Bacterial small subunit ribosomal RNA
Source: RNAcentral
AGAGUUUGAUCCUGGCUCAGAGCGAACGCUGGCGGCAGGCUUAACACAUGCAAGUCGAGCGCCCGUAGCAAUACGGGAGCGGCAGACGGGUGAGUAACACGUGGGAACGUGCCCUUCAGUUCGGAACAACCCAGGGAAACUUGGGCUAAUACCGGAUACGUCCGUAAGGAGAAAGAUUUAUCGCUGAAGGAUCGGCCCGCGUCUGAUUAGCUAGUUGGUGGGGUAAUGGCCCACCAAGGCGACGAUCAGUAGCUGGUCUGAGAGGAUGAUCAGCCACAUUGGGACUGAGACACGGCCCAAACUCCUACGGGAGGCAGCAGUGGGGAAUCUUGGACAAUGGGCGCAAGCCUGAUCCAGCCAUGCCGCGUGGGUGAUGAAGGCCCUAGGGUUGUAAAGCCCUUUCGGCGGGGAAGAUAAUGACGGUACCCGCAGAAGAAGCCCCGGCUAACUUCGUGCCAGCAGCCGCGGUAAUACGAAGGGGGCUAGCGUUGCUCGGAAUCACUGGGCGUAAAGCGCACGUAGGCGGAUCGUUAAGUCAGGGGUGAAAGCCCGGAGCUCAACUCCGGAACUGCCUCUGAUACUGAUGGUCUUGAGUUCGGGAGAGGUGAGUGGAACUGCGAGUGUAGAGGUGAAAUUCGUAGAUAUUCGCAAGAACACCAGUGGCGAAGGCGGCUCACUGGCCCGAUACUGACGCUGAGGUGCGAAAGCGUGGGGAGCAAACAGGAUUAGAUACCCUGGUAGUCCACGCCGUAAACGAUGGAUGCUAGCCGUUGGCGGGUUUACUCGUCAGUGGCGCAGCUAACGCAUUAAGCAUCCCGCCUGGGGAGUACGGUCGCAAGAUUAAAACUCAAAGGAAUUGACGGGGGGCCCGCACAAGCGGUGGAGCAUGUGGNUCAAUUCGAAGCAACGCGCAAAA